Long non-coding RNA from Coregonus clupeaformis (lake whitefish), 1091 nucleotides. RefSeq lists it as uncharacterized. NCBI's taxonomy places the organism in Eukaryota, Metazoa, Chordata, Actinopteri, Salmoniformes, Salmonidae. The record is from RefSeq and is a predicted model, not a curated record. The transcript is spliced from 3 exons.
CAGCAGAAAUCUCCCUCCUAUUCCAGACUGUUCCCAUGGAACAAAACAGCAGAAAUCUCCCUCCUAUUCCAGACUGUUCCCAUGGAACAAAACAGCAGAAAUCUCCCUCCUUUUCCAGCAGCUGCUGAAAUCCAUAAGCAGGCUGCGGAGCGGAGAACAGACAGGCAGCCUUGCAGGCAGCCAGGUGCCAAGGUUGCAGUCAAGAUUAGAUGCCAGCUGGAGAACUCGGAAAAACAGGCGGCAAAAGAGCGAGUGCAGGGCUAACUGACACGCCUGGAUAAACCAGGGUUUUGGGUUAUCAUUGACCCGUCAUCAACUAAAACAAUAAGGACUAAUGACUGAACAGCUCUUGUGGACAUGGCAGGCCCAUUUCCUUCCACACGACACACUGGAACCUCCCUCUUAGAUUUUAACACAAAGCCUUACAGUCUUCUACUCUCCGGAUAUGAAUAAGAAAAGUACAACCGGAGCAGGAAGUGUGUGUGCUAACAGAGUGCAGCCAUAUAACCAGGGCAGUUCAGUUCAAAACACUUGUUUCCCAGACAGACAGGUUGGGUGCAACAGGAACUGGAACUGCCAGAUGAUGAUUUACAUAGCAUUUCAUAGCAACAGUACAGGGCAGGCAAGGUCAUAUACAAAUAACUCAUUUCCUGUCUGGGAAUUUUUUUGUGUGGAAAAAUAAAAUCCUGGAAUGCCAAUAUUGAACACAAAUAAAAAUCGGGAAAAUGGCUACUAUGGCAUGUAGGCUAAGGCUUGUCGACUGCUUUAGGGACACUUCGCAGAGUUACCAACAUUCAACACCUAAUGUCACAGUUUGACACUGAACAAUGUGGCUGAUUAAAUUCAACUCCACGACUUAGAGCGGCAACUAGUGUGGACGGACUGGAUCGCCGACGUAACAUAAAAUGAAGUUAUUAAAAACUACUGAUUUCAGCAUCCAAAGUAUAGACCGCAAUUACACACGACAUAGGUCUGUAAUUACAGGCUACUCUUUGGGUGCUGACAUCACUUGGGUUUUUUGUCACCGCUCAACUCCAUCGUAAAUGGUGGAGUUGGGGUUUAGUCGGCUAUGAACAAGGAAGCCAUAGAGC